UACAAUAAUCAUUUUUGUCUUAGAUUUGUCUUGAUCUCUUCCUGCCGUUGCACAUCACUGGCAAAGGUGAGGAAGAGACGGAGCUUGAACUGGAGGAAAAGGUGCAGAAGCGAGGUCCUCUCUGGAUGUGGACAAGGGUCUGAUGGAAAAAAAAGUUUUGAGGGAGUUGACCGUUUGUGCAAGGUGACUGGCUGACUAAAGAAGACCAAAGUUUUUUUUAUCUGCAGAACAAAUACAGCCUGGUCAAAGGUAACUGAAGUGAACGUCUCCCACCUUGUCCUUUUUGCAUGUCUAAGGGGGAUGUUUGUGCUCUUGG
Molecule: long non-coding RNA, 316 nt
Filed under: Chinchilla lanigera (long-tailed chinchilla)
Lineage: Eukaryota; Metazoa; Chordata; Mammalia; Rodentia; Chinchillidae
Description: lncRNA (ENSCLAG00000022940.1)
Source: RNAcentral